RNAcentral lists this ribosomal RNA (251 nucleotides) under uncultured bacterium. RNAcentral describes it as "partial 16S ribosomal RNA". It matches the Rfam family "Bacterial small subunit ribosomal RNA", at positions 525 to 775 of the family's 1533-position model. The record is from RNAcentral.
ACGUAGGGGGCAAGCGUUAUCCGGAUUUACUGGGUGUAAAGGGAGCGUAGACGGCAUGGCAAGCCAGAUGUGAAAACCCAGGGCUCAACCUUGGGAUUGCAUUUGGAACUGCCAGGCUGGAGUGCAGGAGAGGUAAGCGGAAUUCCUAGUGUAGCGGUGAAAUGCGUAGAUAUUAGGAGGAACACCAGUGGCGAAGGCGGCUUACUGGACUGUAACUGACGUUGAGGCUCGAAAGCGUGGGGAGCAAACAG